RNAcentral lists this ribosomal RNA (466 nucleotides) under uncultured bacterium. RNAcentral describes it as "partial 16S ribosomal RNA". It matches the Rfam family "Bacterial small subunit ribosomal RNA", at positions 28 to 507 of the family's 1533-position model. The record is from RNAcentral.
GAUGAACGCUGGCGGCGUGCUUAACACAUGCAAGUCGAACGAUGAAGCCCAGCUUGCUGGGUGGAUUAGUGGCGAACGGGUGAGUAACACGUGAGUAACCUGCCCUUAACUCUGGGAUAAGCCUGGGAAACUGGGUCUAAUACCGGAUAGGAGCGUCCACCGCAUGGUGGGUGUUGGAAAGAUUUAUCGGUUUUGGAUGGACUCGCGGCCUAUCAGCUUGUUGGUGAGGUAAUGGCUCACCAAGGCGACGACGGGUAGCCGGCCUGAGAGGGUGGCCGGCCACACUGGGACUGAGACACGGCCCAGACUCCUACGGGAGGCAGCAGUGGGGAAUAUUGCACAAUGGGCGAAAGCCUGAUGCAGCGACGCCGCGUGAGGGAUGACGGCCUUCGGGUUGUAAACCUCUUUCAGUAGGGAAGAAGCGAAAGUGACGGUACCUGCAGAAGAAGCACCGGCUAACUACGUG